RNAcentral lists this signal recognition particle RNA (300 nucleotides) under Canis lupus familiaris (dog). Its description in RNAcentral is "Metazoan signal recognition particle RNA (ENSCAFG00030020741.1, ENSCAFG00805029072.1)". It matches the Rfam family "Metazoan signal recognition particle RNA". Rfam says of the family: The signal recognition particle (SRP) is a universally conserved ribonucleoprotein. The record is from RNAcentral. RNAcentral also lists the same sequence under 1 other name. Lineage: Eukaryota; Metazoa; Chordata; Mammalia; Carnivora; Canidae.
GCCGGGCGCGGUGGCGUGCGCCUGUAGUCCCAGCUACUCAGGAGGCUGAGGCAGGAGGAUCGCUUGAGCCCAGGAGUUCUGGGCUGUAGUACGCUAUGCCAAUCGGGUGUCCGCACUAGGUUCGGCAUCAAUAUGGUGACCUCCAGGGAGCGGGGGACCACCAGGUUGCCUAAGGAGGGGUGAACUGGCCCAGGUCGGAAACGGAGCAGGUCAAAACUCCCGUGCUGAUCAGUAGUGGGAUCACACCUGUGAAUAGCCACUGCACUCCAGCCUGGGCAACAUAGCGAGACCCUGUCUCUU